CGGGACGGGUGAGUAAUGUCUGGGAAACGUGCCUGAUGGAGGGGGAUAACUACUGGAAACGGUAGCUAAUACCGCAUAACGUCGCAAGACCAAGAGGGGACCGUUCGGGCCUCUUGCCAUCGGAUGUGCCCAGAUGGGAUUAGCUAGUAGGUGGGGUAACGGCUCACCUAGGCGACGAUCCCUAGCUGGUCUGAGAGGAUGACCAGCCACACUGGAACUGAGACACGGUCCAG
This 233-nucleotide ribosomal RNA is filed under the name uncultured bacterium. RNAcentral describes it as "partial 16S ribosomal RNA". It matches the Rfam family "Bacterial small subunit ribosomal RNA", at positions 100 to 334 of the family's 1533-position model. The record is from RNAcentral.